Molecule: long non-coding RNA, 389 nt
Organism: Hydra vulgaris (swiftwater hydra)
Lineage: Eukaryota; Metazoa; Cnidaria; Hydrozoa; Anthoathecata; Hydridae
Source: RefSeq, a predicted model, not a curated record
CACACACACACAUAUAUAUAUAUCUUUUGCUUUGGAUACAAAAGACCAAGUGACGUCAUAGAAGACAGAAAAAUAACAAUAUCUGUUUUCAAUAAGUUAGCUUUCAUAGCAAAUCUGAGAGACAGUUUACCGUUUGACUCCUGUCCCAAACUAACCUAGUGGGUUCAAAAAGAAAGGACCGCGCUGGAAACAUGAGGAGGUUAAAAGAAUCAGCCCUUUUUGACUUGAUAGCCGAAGUCGUAAACAGCUCGUAUGAAAGGAUUUCUCGACGUAAAAAAGUUGAUUUUAUUCAACAACACCAAGAAACAGAGCUCGCUCAAGAAACAGAAAAGAAAGAGAAAGAUGAAAAAUAUUCUGUUUAACAAUACUGUUGUUUUAUUUAUAAAUUA